This 2774-nucleotide ribosomal RNA is filed under the name Escherichia coli. Its description in RNAcentral is "bacterial LSU rRNA". It matches the Rfam family "Bacterial large subunit ribosomal RNA". Lineage: Bacteria; Pseudomonadati; Pseudomonadota; Gammaproteobacteria; Enterobacterales; Enterobacteriaceae. The record is from RNAcentral.
AGCGUACACGGUGGAUGCCCUGGCAGUCAGAGGCGAUGAAGGACGUGCUAAUCUGCGAUAAGCGUCGGUAAGGUGAUAUGAACCGUUAUAACCGGCGAUUUCCGAAUGGGGAAACCCAGUGUGUUUCGACACACUAUCAUUAACUGAAUCCAUAGGUUAAUGAGGCGAACCGGGGGAACUGAAACAUCUAAGUACCCCGAGGAAAAGAAAUCAACCGAGAUUCCCCCAGUAGCGGCGAGCGAACGGGGAGCAGCCCAGAGCCUGAAUCAGUGUGUGUGUUAGUGGAAGCGUCUGGAAAGGCGCGCGAUACAGGGUGACAGCCCCGUACACAAAAAUGCACAUAUUGUGAGCUCGAUGAGUAGGGCGGGACACGUGGUAUCCUGUCUGAAUAUGGGGGGACCAUCCUCCAAGGCUAAAUACUCCUGACUGACCGAUAGUGAACCAGUACCGUGAGGGAAAGGCGAAAAGAACCCCGGCGAGGGGAGUGAAAAAGAACCUGAAACCGUGUACGUACAAGCAGUGGGAGCACAGAGCAAUCUGUGUGACUGCGUACCUUUUGUAUAAUGGGUCAGCGACUUAUAUUCUGUAGCAAGGUUAACCGAAUAGGGGAGCCGAAGGGAAACCGAGUCUUAACUGGGCGUUAAGUUGCAGGGUAUAGACCCGAAACCCGGUGAUCUAGCCAUGGGCAGGUUGAAGGUUGGGUAACACUAACUGGAGGACCGAACCGACUAAUGUUGAAAAAUUAGCGGAUGACUUGUGGCUGGGGGUGAAAGGCCAAUCAAACCGGGAGAUAGCUGGUUCUCCCCGAAAGCUAUUUAGGUAGCGCCUCGUGAAUUCAUCUCCGGGGGUAGAGCACUGUUUCGGCAAGGGGGUCAUCCCGACUUACCAACCCGAUGCAAACUGCGAAUACCGGAGAAUGUUAUCACGGGAGACACACGGCGGGUGCUAACGUCCGUCGUGAAGAGGGAAACAACCCAGACCGCCAGCUAAGGUCCCAAAGUCAUGGUUAAGUGGGAAACGAUGUGGGAAGGCCCAGACAGCCAGGAUGUUGGCUUAGAAGCAGCCAUCAUUUAAAGAAAGCGUAAUAGCUCACUGGUCGAGUCGGCCUGCGCGGAAGAUGUAACGGGGCUAAACCAUGCACCGAAGCUGCGGCAGCGACACUGUGUGUUGUUGGGUAGGGGAGCGUUCUGUAAGCCUGUGAAGGUGUACUGUGAGGUAUGCUGGAGGUAUCAGAAGUGCGAAUGCUGACAUAAGUAACGAUAAAGCGGGUGAAAAGCCCGCUCGCCGGAAGACCAAGGGUUCCUGUCCAACGUUAAUCGGGGCAGGGUGAGUCGACCCCUAAGGCGAGGCCGAAAGGCGUAGUCGAUGGGAAACAGGUUAAUAUUCCUGUACUUGGUGUUACUGCGAAGGGGGGACGGAGAAGGCUAUGUUGGCCGGGCGACGGUUGUCCCGGUUUAAGCGUGUAGGCUGGUUUUCCAGGCAAAUCCGGAAAAUCAAGGCUGAGGCGUGAUGACGAGGCACUACGGUGCUGAAGCAACAAAUGCCCUGCUUCCAGGAAAAGCCUCUAAGCAUCAGGUAACAUCAAAUCGUACCCCAAACCGACACAGGUGGUCAGGUAGAGAAUACCAAGGCGCUUGAGAGAACUCGGGUGAAGGAACUAGGCAAAAUGGUGCCGUAACUUCGGGAGAAGGCACGCUGAUAUGUAGGUGAAGCGACUUGCUCGUGGAGCUGAAAUCAGUCGAAGAUACCAGCUGGCUGCAACUGUUUAUUAAAAACACAGCACUGUGCAAACACGAAAGUGGACGUAUACGGUGUGACGCCUGCCCGGUGCCGGAAGGUUAAUUGAUGGGGUCAGCGCAAGCGAAGCUCUUGAUCGAAGCCCCGGUAAACGGCGGCCGUAACUAUAACGGUCCUAAGGUAGCGAAAUUCCUUGUCGGGUAAGUUCCGACCUGCACGAAUGGCGUAAUGAUGGCCAGGCUGUCUCCACCCGAGACUCAGUGAAAUUGAACUCGCUGUGAAGAUGCAGUGUACCCGCGGCAAGACGGAAAGACCCCGUGAACCUUUACUAUAGCUUGACACUGAACAUUGAGCCUUGAUGUGUAGGAUAGGUGGGAGGCUUUGAAGUGUGGACGCCAGUCUGCAUGGAGCCGACCUUGAAAUACCACCCUUUAAUGUUUGAUGUUCUAACGUUGACCCGUGAUCCGGGUUGCGGACAGUGUCUGGUGGGUAGUUUGACUGGGGCGGUCUCCUCCUAAAGAGUAACGGAGGAGCACGAAGGUUGGCUAAUCCUGGUCGGACAUCAGGAGGUUAGUGCAAUGGCAUAAGCCAGCUUGACUGCGAGCGUGACGGCGCGAGCAGGUGCGAAAGCAGGUCAUAGUGAUCCGGUGGUUCUGAAUGGAAGGGCCAUCGCUCAACGGAUAAAAGGUACUCCGGGGAUAACAGGCUGAUACCGCCCAAGAGUUCAUAUCGACGGCGGUGUUUGGCACCUCGAUGUCGGCUCAUCACAUCCUGGGGCUGAAGUAGGUCCCAAGGGUAUGGCUGUUCGCCAUUUAAAGUGGUACGCGAGCUGGGUUUAGAACGUCGUGAGACAGUUCGGUCCCUAUCUGCCGUGGGCGCUGGAGAACUGAGGGGGGCUGCUCCUAGUACGAGAGGACCGGAGUGGACGCAUCACUGGUGUUCGGGUUGUCAUGCCAAUGGCACUGCCCGGUAGCUAAAUGCGGAAGAGAUAAGUGCUGAAAGCAUCUAAGCACGAAACUUGCCCCGAGAUGAGUUCU